CAGAAUUGGAGGAGCGCAUGCAACAAGUAGAGAGAAGGUGAAGAAGGUUUUUAAGUGAGUAUUUUCUCCAGUUUUAUUGUUGGAGGAUUCAUCUCUCUUCCGGACUCAUUCCCUCUCGGUUGUGUGCAGACAGCGAGCGUCCAUUACAAUUAAAUGCAUCCGGACAAUUCUGCAACAGUCCCGCCAUUGACCUACUUCCGGUCAGCGCUGAGUGAGUCCACACGGCCCCUCGUCUCCUCUGAAGGUUAGAGUGAUUUUCAGCUGGUCUGCUAACCGCCAAAGAAGUCCAGAGAAGAAGAAGAAGAAGCUCAGUGCUGAGACCAGACACUUGUGGAGAGGAACGCCGUCCAUCAUUGAAUCUGACUUCAGGGCAGCUGUCUGAGGAAGAAAGAUGACUCCCCUUCUCAAGAAAUGGAGGGGCACGCCUCGUAGUCAUGACUGGCAGCAGUGUGGUAAAGAGUUCUCUUCUUCAUCAGAUUUAAAGAUGCAUAUGUGAGUUCACACUGGAGAGAAACCAUACAGUUGUGACCAAUGUGGGAAAUCCUUCAGGCACAAAAACACCUUAACACUCCACCGGCAGAUCCACACUGGAGAGAAACCACACAAAUGUAAACACUGUGAAAAAGCCUUCAGAAGUUGAGGGGAAUGCAUCACACAUGAACACAUCCACACCAGUCUGAAACCAUACAUCUGUGGGGAGUGUGGGAAGAGUUUUGGGAGUUCAUCUUCACUUGGCUGACAUGAGCUCACCCAUGCUGGAGUCAGAGAGUACCAGUGUGAGCGCUGUGACAAAAGCUUUGUUUCAGCUCACCAUCUUGAGAGGCAUCUGCGUAUCCACACCGGACACGAGCCGUACUGGUGUGUUGGUUGUGAGAAAAGCUUCACAUGGAGAUCUGAAGUGAAAACACACAAAUGUGUCAAAAUAGAGAGCUACAGUUCUUUGUAGUCUUCAAGUGUUAGACUAAUGUUUAGAUGUGUAAUUGUUCUACACUAACUGUUCAUAAAUAGAAGAAUGAAUUAGCUUUAGAAAAAGGAUAGAAGAAGAUGAAACACAGAGGCUUUUAAAACACUUGUGCUGAGUCUUGAGAGUGUUGAUGUUGUAAAUAUUUUCAUCCAAACUA
This is a long non-coding RNA of Cheilinus undulatus (humphead wrasse), 1121 nucleotides long. RefSeq lists it as uncharacterized. The record is from RefSeq and is a predicted model, not a curated record. NCBI's taxonomy places the organism in Eukaryota, Metazoa, Chordata, Actinopteri, Labriformes, Labridae. The transcript has 4 exons.